AUAAGCCUUUGGAGUCCAUUCCUGCCCUUUCCUUGGCCAGCAUUGAACACUAUUGAGGAGAACUUAGCACCAAAAUAAGACGUUCAAGACUUUCUAACGGAACCUCCAGUGUUCUCAAUCUGAUCUGACAGAAAAGAAAGAUUGUAAAUCUUUCCAACCCAUUCAACCAUUUAUGGGACCUCCACCUUUUUUUAAAAUCGAAGAAAAUUUUUCUUCCGCAGCUCAGAACCGAAAUUAAACAAGCUUUCAGCUGCAAAGUCAUGGAGAAACUCUACUCUAGCUUGAGGCUCUUGGAACAUGCCUCCUGGAAGCACUUCCACCCCACACCGCCCUACUGGAAUGGCACCACGGAAGGAAAAAGAAAAUGUUGCCUCCUUUUAUUGCUUGCUUCAACUGCCUCUUUAGUUGCUGCCGUAUUUUAGCUGAACCAAGGUUCAAGUUACGCAGGCUGUCACGACUGCGGGCAAGGUGCAGCCUGGGCGCUUUCCCGUGCAAUAAGGAAAUUCGCAUCUGCUCCUAAGGCAGGAACUCAGUCACCCCACCCGCCGGGAGCGCCCAGCUCCGCCCCAGCCGUGACCCGGGUUCCUGCCGCGGCCUCCCCGCGGCGCCCAGAGCUCCCCCACGUGCGCGGUGGCACUGCCGGGCUGGACGCGCCCAGCUGGCCUCUGCUCUGAAGACUCGCACCGAAACCAAGUGCAGACCUCUCCGCCCCCAGACGGGUCGUCGCUGCCACGUUUUCAGAAGAGUCCGCCCUUCGCUUGGUUUUCUGGGCGCUUAGAAAAGCAAAGCGUCCAAGCGUGCAAGCGUGCAAGCGUGCAAGCUGGAGAGCUUCCCGCGCGCCCUAACGCGCGCCGGACGCGGCAUCUCUUGGACACCGAGCCACGCGUCCCCUCUACCCGCACGCCGGAGCGCAAGGGCUACGUAGAGAGCCGGGGGACCCUGUGAUUUCAAACUGCGGACAACUCCUGCUUCUUUCCCCGGGCCACGACUAGGUGCCACUUUCCGUCCGCCCCGCCGCCACGGCCAAGCCGGGGUCACCUUGGCCCGCGUGCUUUUCAUUCCAGCCACCCUCUCCCUCGUGCUCCCUGCCGCCACCCACUCUCAGCUGGGAGUUACUGCGGGUCACCGCCGCCCCGGGCCUUCCCUCCCGGGUCCCGCCCCGCACACCCAGUGGACCCUCCCCGGCCCUGCCCGCGGCCGCAGCGGGAGUGCAGGGAACUGCGCGGGAAUCCGGGAGGAAGAGACGCCCCAGAGUGCUCGGAAGGAGAAUGCCUUCCCUAUUUCUCCCGAGCCCACGCCCGUGGCCCUUCUCGGGUUCCAGAGCUCGGGCAGAGAGAGAUGCGCCCCCGCUCAACUUCCUCUUUCCCGUCUCUCGGGGGCUCUGGAAGUGGCCGCGCAGCCGCGUCUGCAGGAGCCUGCCUCGCCAGGGAAGCACCGUUUCUAUCGAUUUGUGUUAAAUAUGCAACUGCUCUGUGACCACCAAUUUUCCAAGAAGAGGAAGUUAUGCUGUUAAACUACCUUUGGCCAAUACUUUAAACCACUCCUCUUUUUUUUUUCCCCAAAUCGAUUUUAUUGAUACAUAUUAAUAAAUCAUAAAAUUCAACUCCCCUUUUGAUGGAUCCUGUGUAUAAACUUGCAGGUUUUUCUUUUUGUUGUGUUUUAUUUUUUGUUGGUGGUGGUUUUAUUUUUUAUGUUUUAUUUUUCCAGAAUCCUCUAGGUCACAAUGUCAACCUAGGGACCUAUGGACACACAUUGCUUUGCAGCUUGUGCUUGUACAAUCCAGCAUUUUUAAUACUGGCAAGACGGAUUCAUUUUUGUGAUGGAGAAAAGCCCAUUUACUCUAACUAGUUUCUCAUUUUUUGCUUCAUGUAAAUUAUACCCAAUCCUCAAACUCAUCAUAGAAUACAAGGAUAACUUCUGACCUUCAGAUACAGUAAGUGCAGGUCCAAUGAUUUAAAAGUGUAUUGAGUUAAGCUAAGUGAAAGAAGGCAUUCACAAAAGACACAUUCUGAAGGAUUACGUGGAUGUAAAAUGCCUGGAAGAGGCAAAUAGAGAGACAGGAGGUAGACCAGGUGUCAGGGAAAAGAGAUUGGAGAGGAGGGAGAGAAGAUGGGGUGACUGCUAGUCAGAAUAAGACUUUUGGGGGAUGUGAUGAAAGUGUUUUGAAAUUUGUUUAUGGUGACAAUUGCACAACUCUGCAAGUACACUAGAAGCCAUUGCAUUGUGCACUUAAAAGGGUCAAUAAAGCUUUUUAAAGAAGUAUACCAAGGUAUGCAAAUAAAGUAAUAAGAAAAAAGCACAUUGGAUAUUGUCAUUUUCUGCUGAAAUGCUCAGAAUACUUUCAAAUUUAUUUUUUAUCUUAAGUAAAGCAAAACUGUAUUUUUAAUCCCUUUCCCCCACCCAUGUUAACUUUGCAAGAAACUGCAUUUGUACAGUAAUUUAAAUGACAAUAGAAAUAUGUGAAUAACUUUAUACUGCACAUAAUCUUGGAACCCAAAACUUUAAUAUUCGGCGAUGUGUUCCACGCACACAAACCAAAAUUUCACAAGUUGAGGAUGGUUAUUGUCAAAACACAGCAAGUUGUGAAAUGUGUAACAAUAUGAUGCUAGAAAUAAAAAGUUCAAGUCCCUAAAUGGUAUGCCUA
Molecule: long non-coding RNA, 2644 nt
Filed under: Dasypus novemcinctus (nine-banded armadillo)
Lineage: Eukaryota; Metazoa; Chordata; Mammalia; Cingulata; Dasypodidae
Description: lncRNA (ENSDNOG00000051441.1)
Source: RNAcentral